This 548-nucleotide ribosomal RNA is filed under the name uncultured Glomus. Its description in RNAcentral is "SSU rRNA". It matches the Rfam family "Eukaryotic small subunit ribosomal RNA", at positions 548 to 1098 of the family's 1831-position model. The record is from RNAcentral. Lineage: Eukaryota; Fungi; Glomeromycota; Glomeromycetes; Glomerales; Glomeraceae.
UUGGAGGGCAAGUCUGGUGCCAGCAGCCGCGGUAAUUCCAGCUCCAAUAGCGUAUAUUAAAGUUGUUGCAGUUAAAAAGCUCGUAGUUGAAUUUCGGGAUCAAUUUAUUGGUCGUGCUAUUGUACGUACUGGUAUUAUUGAUUCCUACCUUCUGACGAACCACGAUGUCAUUAAUUUGGUGUCAUGGGGAAUCAGGACUGUUACUUUGAAAAAAUUAGAGCGUUUAAAGCAGGCUCACGCUUGAAUACAUUAGCAUGGAAUAACGAAAUAGGACGUUUGAUUCUAUUUUGUUGGUUUCUAGGAUCGACGUAAUGAUUAAUAGGGAUAGUUGGGGGCAUUAGUAUUCAAUUGUCAGAGGUGAAAUUCUUGGAUUUAUUGAAGACUAACUACUGCGAAAGCAUUUGCCAAGGAUGUUUUCAUUAAUCAAGAACGAAAGUUAGGGGAUCGAAGACGAUCAGAUACCGUCGUAGUCCUAACCAUAAACUAUGCCGACUAGGGAUCGGAUGAUGUUAAUUUUUUAAUGACUCAUUCGGCGCCUUACGGGAAAC